RNAcentral lists this ribosomal RNA (441 nucleotides) under uncultured bacterium. RNAcentral describes it as "partial 16S ribosomal RNA". It matches the Rfam family "Bacterial small subunit ribosomal RNA", at positions 338 to 795 of the family's 1533-position model. The record is from RNAcentral.
CCUACGGGAGGCAGCAGUGGGGGAUAUUGCACAAUGGGGGGAACCCUGAUGCAGCGACGCCGCGUGGGUGAAGGAGUGCUUCGGCAUGUAAAGCCCUAUCGGCAGGGAAGAAGCAAGACGGUACCUGACUAAGAAGCCCCGGCUAACUACGUGCCCGCAGCCGCGGUCAUACGUAGGGGGCGAGCGUUAUCCGGAUUCACUGGGUGUAAAGGGAGCGUAGACGGCCAGGAAAGACAGGGGUGAAAGCCCUGGGCCCAACCCCGGGACUGCCCUUGGAACUGCAUGGCUGGAGUGCGGGAGGGGCAGGCGGAAUUCCGGGUGUAGCGGUGAAAUGCGUAGAUAUCAGGAGGAACACCGACGGCGAAGGCGGCCUGCUGGACCGCGACUGACGUUGAGGCUCGAAAGCGUGGGGAGCGAACAGGAUUAGAUACCCUUGUAGUC